Molecule: long non-coding RNA, 223 nt
Organism: Chelonia mydas (Green sea turtle)
Lineage: Eukaryota; Metazoa; Chordata; Testudines; Cheloniidae
Exons: 3
Source: RefSeq, a predicted model, not a curated record
AGAAAAGGUUUGGGAGCAAUGCGCCAAAAAUUCAUAUGUCCCUUCAUUCUUCAACCACCAUUCAGAGGACUAGCGUCCAUGCUGACGAUGGGUUCUGUUCUAUAACAAUCAAAAACCAUGCAGACCAAUGCAUGUUCAUUUUCAUCAUCUGAGUCAGAUGCCACCAGCAGAAGGUUGAUUUUCUUUUUUGGUGGUUCAGGUUCUGUAGUUUCCGCAUCGGAGU